AUUGAACGCUGGCGGCAGGCCUAACACAUGCAAGUCGAACGGUAACAGGAAGCAGCUUGCUGCUUCGCUGGCGAGUGGCGGACGGGUGAGUCGUGUCUGGGAAGCUGCCUGAUGGAGGGGGAUAACUACUGGAAACGGUAGCUAAUACCGCAUAGUUUCUCAAGACCAAAGGGGGGUAGCAUGUUGCCGCGUUCCAGCGGGUGUUCGCAGCUGGUAUGAGCUUGGUGGUGGGGUAACGGCUCACCAAGGCGAGGAUUCGUAGCGGGUCGGAGAGUAUGAUGGGCCACAUGGGAAGUGAGACAGGGUCAAUGGUACUAAGGGAGGCAGCAGUGUGGAAUAUUGCGCAAUGGGCGGAAGCAUGAUGCAACGAUGCCGAGUGUAUGACGACGGCCUUCGGGGUGUAAAGUCCGUUCAGCGGGGAGGAACGGAGUACAGCUAAUACGUUGGGUGAGUGACGUUAAUCGGAAAAGAAGCACCGGCUAACUACGUG
Molecule: ribosomal RNA, 490 nt
Filed under: uncultured bacterium
Lineage: Bacteria
Description: partial 16S ribosomal RNA
Rfam family: Bacterial small subunit ribosomal RNA
Source: RNAcentral